Molecule: ribosomal RNA, 301 nt
Filed under: uncultured bacterium
Lineage: Bacteria
Description: partial 16S ribosomal RNA
Rfam family: Archaeal small subunit ribosomal RNA
Source: RNAcentral
CAGUCGCCACGGGAAUACCAGCACCUCGAGUGGUCAGGAGGUUUAUUGGGCCUAAAGCAUCCGUAGCCGGUUGCAUAAGUUUUCGGUUAAAUCUAUGCGCUUAACGUAUAGGCCGCCGAAAAUACUGUGCAGCUAGGGAGUGGGAGAGGUACACGGUACUCGAUAGGAAGGGGUAAAAUCCUUUGAUCUAUUGAUGACCACCUGUGGCGAAGGCGGUGUACCUGAACACGUUCGACGGUGAGGGAUGAAAGCUGGGGGAGCAAACAGGAUUAGAUACCCGAGUAGUCCCUGUCUCUUAUAC